This 938-nucleotide ribosomal RNA is filed under the name Vibrio sp. BL0114. RNAcentral describes it as "bacterial SSU rRNA". It matches the Rfam family "Bacterial small subunit ribosomal RNA", at positions 62 to 979 of the family's 1533-position model. Lineage: Bacteria; Pseudomonadati; Pseudomonadota; Gammaproteobacteria; Vibrionales; Vibrionaceae. The record is from RNAcentral.
UCGAGCGGAAACGAGUUAUCUGAACCUUCGGGGAACGAUAACGGCGUCGAGCGGCGGACGGGUGAGUAAUGCCUAGGAAAUUGCCUUGAUGUGGGGGAUAACCAUUGGAAACGAUGGCUAAUACCGCAUAAUGCCUUCGGGCCAAAGAGGGGGACCUUCGGGCCUCUCGCGUCAAGAUAUGCCUAGGUGGGAUUAGCUAGUUGGUGAGGUAAUGGCUCACCAAGGCGACGAUCCCUAGCUGGUCUGAGAGGAUGAUCAGCCACACUGGAACUGAGACACGGUCCAGACUCCUACGGGAGGCAGCAGUGGGGAAUAUUGCACAAUGGGCGCAAGCCUGAUGCAGCCAUGCCGCGUGUAUGAAGAAGGCCUUCGGGUUGUAAAGUACUUUCAGUCGUGAGGAAGGUUCAUGCGUUAAUAGCGUAUGGAUUUGACGUUAGCGACAGAAGAAGCACCGGCUAACUCCGUGCCAGCAGCCGCGGUAAUACGGAGGGUGCGAGCGUUAAUCGGAAUUACUGGGCGUAAAGCGCAUGCAGGUGGUUUGUUAAGUCAGAUGUGAAAGCCCGGGGCUCAACCUCGGAACUGCAUUUGAAACUGGCAAACUAGAGUACUGUAGAGGGGGGUAGAAUUUCAGGUGUAGCGGUGAAAUGCGUAGAGAUCUGAAGGAAUACCAGUGGCGAAGGCGGCCCCCUGGACAGAUACUGACACUCAGAUGCGAAAGCGUGGGGAGCAAACAGGAUUAGAUACCCUGGUAGUCCACGCCGUAAACGAUGUCUACUUGGAGGUUGUGGCCUUGAGCCGUGGCUUUCGGAGCUAACGCGUUAAGUAGACCGCCUGGGGAGUACGGUCGCAAGAUUAAAACUCAAAUGAAUUGACGGGGGCCCGCACAAGCGGUGGAGCAUGUGGUUUAAUUCGAUGCAACGCGAAGAACCUUACCUACU